GCAGUCGUGGCCGAGUGGUUAAGGCGAUGGACCAGAAAUCCAUUGGGGUUCGAAUCACAGGUUCGAAUCCUGUCGACUGCG
RNAcentral lists this transfer RNA (81 nucleotides) under Ixodes scapularis (black-legged tick). It matches the Rfam family "tRNA". From Rfam's summary of the family: Transfer RNA (tRNA) molecules are approximately 80 nucleotides in length. Their secondary structure includes four short double-helical elements and three loops (D, anti-codon, and T loops). The record is from Rfam by way of RNAcentral. Lineage: Eukaryota; Metazoa; Arthropoda; Arachnida; Ixodida; Ixodidae.